This 456-nucleotide ribosomal RNA is filed under the name uncultured Sphingobacteriales bacterium. RNAcentral's name for it is "bacterial SSU rRNA". It matches the Rfam family "Bacterial small subunit ribosomal RNA", at positions 924 to 1382 of the family's 1533-position model. The record is from RNAcentral. Lineage: Bacteria; Pseudomonadati; Bacteroidota; Sphingobacteriia; Sphingobacteriales.
CACAAGCGGAGGAACAUUGUGGUUUAAUUCGAUGAUACGCGAGGAACCUUACCUGGGCUUAAAUGGGGAGUGACAGCUGUCGAAAGAUGGUUUUCUUCGGACACUCUUCAAGGUGCUGCAUGGUUGUCGUCAGCUCGUGCCGUGAGGUGUCGGGUUAAGUCCCAUAACGAGCGCAACCCUUACCGUUAGUUACCAUCAGGUUAAGCUGGGGACUCUAGCGGGACUGCCACCGUAAGGUGAGAGGAAGUGGGGAUGACGUCAAAUCAGCACGGCCCUUAUGUCCAGGGCUACACACGUGUUACAAUGGCCAGUACAAAGGGCAGCUACCGGGUGACCGGAUGCUAAUCUCUAAAGCUGGUCUCAGUUCGGAUCGAAGUCUGCAACCCGACUUCGUGAAGCUGGAUUCGCUAGUAAUCGCGCAUCAGCCAUGGCGCGGUGAAUACGUUCCCGGGCCUU